RNAcentral lists this ribosomal RNA (312 nucleotides) under Triticum aestivum (bread wheat). Its description in RNAcentral is "partial small subunit ribosomal RNA". The record is from RNAcentral. Lineage: Eukaryota; Viridiplantae; Streptophyta; Magnoliopsida; Poales; Poaceae.
AUGAAUUAUGAGUUUAAUAGAUCCUCUUUAGCAGAAAGACGUAUAUUCCUUGCUCAUUAUCAGACAAUCACUUAUUCCCAAACCUCGUUUGGGACUAAUCAUUUUCAUGUACCAUCUCAUGGAAAACCCUUUUCGUUCCGCUUAGCCCUAUCGGGUAUUUUAGUGAUAGGUUCUAUAGAUCACCAAAUAUUUUGGGACACCGGAUUUUCAUUCAUAUUUAGAAUAAUUCUUACAUUGCAAAAAAAUCACAAAAACAACUUAAAAAUACUAAAAUGUAUUCCUGCCAUCGUAGGAGAGGUCAACGACCCCUGA